CCAAGAAUGUUUCCAUUAAUCAAGAACGAAAGUUAGAGGUUCGAAGGCGAUCAGAUACCGCCCUAGUUCUAACCAUAAACGAUGCCAGCUAGCGAUCUGGCUGUGUUCCUCAAAUGACACGCCGGGCAGCUUCCGGGAAACCAAAGCCUUUGGGUUCCGGGGGGAGUAUGGUUGCAAAGCUGAAACUUAAAGGAAUAGACGGAAGGGCACCACCAGGAAUGGAGCCUGCGGCUUAAUUUGACUCAACACGGGAAAUCUCAUCCGGCCCGGACACAGGAAGGAUUGACAGAUUAAGAGCUCUUUCUUGAUUCUGUGGGUGGUGGUGCAUGGCCGCUCUUAGUUCGUGGAGCGAUUUGUCUGGUUAAUUCCGUCAACGAACGAGACUCUAGCCUAUUAAAUAGACGCUCCGAUCCUCACCGUCGGACGCUCUUCUUAGAGGGAUAAACGGCGUUUAGCCGCACGAGACAGAGCAAUAGCAGGUCUGUGAUGCCCUUAGAUGUCCGGGGCCGCACGCGCGCUACAUUGAAGGAAACAGCGUGUGCUUUCCCUCUCUGACAAGAGUGGGUAACCCGUUGAAACUCUUUCGUGCUGGGGAUAGAAAUUUGAAACUGUUUUUCUUGAACGAGGAAUUCCCAGUAAGCACGAAUCAUCAAUUCGUGUUGACUACGUCCCUGGCCUUUGUACUCACCGCCCGUCGCUAUUGCUGAUAGAAUAAUUUAGUGAGGUCUUCGGACUGGCGCUCGGAUCGGCCUUUUGGGUCACGAGCCGCGGUGCCGGAAAGAUGACCGAACUUGAUUAUUUAGAGGAAAUAAAAGUCGUAACAAGGUUUCCGUAGGUGAACUGGGG
Molecule: ribosomal RNA, 846 nt
Filed under: Argenna patula
Lineage: Eukaryota; Metazoa; Arthropoda; Arachnida; Araneae; Dictynidae
Description: bacterial SSU rRNA
Rfam family: Eukaryotic small subunit ribosomal RNA
Source: RNAcentral